Canis lupus familiaris (dog) is the source of this 1861-nucleotide long non-coding RNA. RefSeq lists it as uncharacterized. Lineage: Eukaryota; Metazoa; Chordata; Mammalia; Carnivora; Canidae. The record is from RefSeq and is a predicted model, not a curated record. The transcript has 4 exons.
UUAGAAAGACAGACAUGAGCAUAGAUGCAGGGCAGGGCAGCACGUCAUUUCUGGAACAGAGGCAUAGACCAGACAGUUGGUGCUCAGAGGAAACACGAAACAUUCUUGGGGUCUCCGGAAUAAAGUAUACCCCCAAAGUCUGUUCCUGUUGAAAGAUGAAGGAUCACUUAGCCAAGAAGAACAAGAAAGAGAGCAUGAGUGGGGCCAGAGGUCAAGGGAAAGGAAGAGAAAUCCUCAAGCAAACUCCCUGCUAAGCAUGGAGCUCGACUUGGAGUUUGAUCUCAGGUCCUAGAGAUCACGACCUGAGCACAAAUCAGGUGUCGGACAACUAACUGACUGAGCUACCCAGGUUCUGUUCUCCUUCUAGGAACAGAGAAUUGCACUUACUCCUGCAAAGUUAGGAAUGAAGACGUUAUUUGUUUUGUUGUUAAAAGAUGACCACGAGAAGAGUGUGUCAGUCCUAGGUUGGAGUAUUUAAUUGCUGUCGCAAAGCCUUCAAACUCUUUUCCUCCGUGGACAAUCAUAGAUGCAUACAUCGAAAGGACAGCAUCCUAAGAUGCACUAUAAACGGAAGAAUCUUGCCGGAUGGGAGCCAUCUGCAAAAUAACUCAUCUCUUCAAAGGGCGGCUGGAUUCAAGUGCUAUCAUGUCUUCCAAUGUGCAGUAUAUUUUAGUUAUUGCUUUUAAAUAAUCUUUAGUUUUCUCUUUUGCACAUUGGUGAAGACUUUAAAUAGCAGAUGUCAAAAAUCACUUGAUUCUUUUGCUUAUUGAAUUUCCAGAAAUGCUCAGUAUGAAGAUAUGCUUCUACAGUGUUUGUGUGAAAUAAUGUAAUUCAAUCAUGCUUUCUCUAUAGAUAGCAAUGGUCCACGUAUGAGAAAAAUUCAGAAUGCAUUAUCCAAAAAUUAGCUUCCAUAUAUCUGAUUAUACUUAGCUCUUCUGGAAUAAACAAAAUUUGAUGCCACUGAUGCCGAUGCCUUAAUUCUUACUUUACCUGCUGUGCAUGAAAAAUAGACACUAGAAGGGGAGCACAAACAGCAGUAAUGGUACAAAGAUUUCUUAUUUCAAUAUUUACCUUUUGUGGGCAGAUCUGGGAAUUUUCCUUUUCCUUUAAUGAGAAUUGAAGAUAAGCUGGCUUCACUAUGGCAAUACAAAUGUUAAAAUUAUCACGAAUGCUAUGCCAUAUGUCACUUAGAUAAUAGUAGAAAUAGGUUGUUGAUCAGUAGAUACAUUCUCAUUAGAAUCUCACCAUUUUUAGCAUAGAACAGACGAAUUUUCUUUGGAACAGUUUGUUCUAAGGAUGGUUUUCUUGGCUGUCAUAGGAGGUUUUAGAGUUUCAUGAAUUGUCGCUAUAGCAUUCUAUAUGAAUUGAAUAAAAUGUCUAUUGUGUUUUCCAAGGUGAAUGCUUCCUAACUUUCACAGAUAUUUCAGUAUUUACUUAGUCUAUAUCACAAAUUAAUGCUAACAAAAAAGACAUGACUUACUUCUUAAAUACUUUCCACACACAACUUCACAUUACUAUCUUUUUAUGGAGCGGGUAACCCCCAAAUUCUCAGGUUGUAAAUGGCUUGCUUUCUGGGGCACUGAGAAGAAUGCUUGUUGGUGCUUCCUUACCUGGAGAGAUAAGUCUAUGAUUAUUUACAGGUGUACACUGACUAUUUAACUUUAGAAGUAAGUUUGAAGUAAGGAAGAUAACCUAAGGAAAAUAAAAUGUCUUAUACACAUAGCUAGCUAUGUGUUAACUCUAGCUAACUCAUAGCUAACUCUAACUAGAGUCCCAUGCAGAACUACAAUAUAAAUAGAACCCUAUUUACCUCUUUGUUUUUAUUACUUAACAUGUCAUUGCUAUAUUUAUUUAAAAUUGU